This 657-nucleotide small RNA is filed under the name Pan troglodytes (chimpanzee). Its description in RNAcentral is "processed transcript". The record is from RNAcentral. Lineage: Eukaryota; Metazoa; Chordata; Mammalia; Primates; Hominidae.
GUGGGCCGCAGAGACGUUGGAGCCGGCGGGGGCUGGGGACUGGCCUCGGGGCGACUUGAGAGGCGUCUGGGCAGUGGAGGCCCUUCCUGCUGGAGUCUCCGCAGGGCUCUGAUGGUGUCCCUGGCCAGUGUCCUUCCACCUGUCCACAAGCAUGGGGAACAUCUUCGCCAACCUCUUCAAGGGCCUUUUUGGCAAAAAAGAAAUGCGCAUCCUCAUGGUGGGCCUGGAUGCUGCAGGGAAGACCACGAUCCUCUACAAGCUUAAGCUGGGUGAGAUCGUGACCACCAUUCCCACCAUAGGUGAGGUGGGGGCCAGCAGGGAGUGGGCUGGGCUGGCCUGGGCCAAGGUACAAGGCCUCACCCUGCAUCCCGCACCCAGGCUUCAACGUGGAAACCGUGGAGUACAAGAACAUCAGCUUCACUGUGUGGGACGUGGGUGGCCAGGACAAGAUCCGGCCCCUGUGGCGCCACUACUUCCAGAACACACAAGGCCUGAUCUUCGUGGUGGACAGCAAUGACAGAGAGCGUGUGAACGAGGCCCGUGAGGAGCUCAUGAGGAUGCUGGCCGAGGACGAGCUCCGGGAUGCUGUCCUCCUGGUGUUCGCCAACAAGCAGGACCUCCCCAACGCCAUGAAUGCGGCUGAGAUCACAGACAAGC